This 241-nucleotide ribosomal RNA is filed under the name uncultured bacterium. RNAcentral's name for it is "partial 16S ribosomal RNA". It matches the Rfam family "Bacterial small subunit ribosomal RNA", at positions 94 to 334 of the family's 1533-position model. The record is from RNAcentral.
AGCGGCGGACGGGUGAGUAACGCGUGGGUAACCGUGCCUCAUACAGGGGGAUAACAGUUGGAAACGGCUGCUAAUACCGCAUAAGCGCACAGUACUGCAUGGUACGGUGUGAAAAACUCCGGUGGUAUGAGAUGGACCCGCGUCUGAUUAGGUAGUUGGUGGGGUAACGGCCUACCAAGCCGACGAUCAGUAGCCGACCUGAGAGGGUGACCGGCCACAUUGGGACUGAGACACGGCCCAA